This 177-nucleotide long non-coding RNA is filed under the name Mustela putorius furo (domestic ferret). RNAcentral describes it as "lncRNA (ENSMPUG00000027720.1)". The record is from RNAcentral. Lineage: Eukaryota; Metazoa; Chordata; Mammalia; Carnivora; Mustelidae.
AAUUCAGGAGGUGUUGUCCUCGACACUCCAUGGUAGACUGAGCUGAGUGGCUUAACCAGCCAAAUGAAAGUUGGAGUAAAUAUGUGGGGGAACCCCAAGGAGAGCAGUUCCAGGAUGCUGGCAACAGAAGGUAUCUGUUAGUAGAAAAUGACAACUAUCAGUUGAUUUUCAGAGAGG